UACGUAGGGGGCAAGCGUUGUCCAGAAUCAUUGGGCGUAAAGAGCGUGUAGGCGGCCAGAUAAGUCCGCUGUGAAAUCUCGAGGCUCAACUUCGAGCUGUCGGUGGAAACUGUCUGGCUAGAGUCCGGAAGAGGAGAAUGGAAUUCCUGGUGUAGCGGUGAAAUGCGCAGAUAUCAGGAAGAACACCCGUGGCGAAGGCGGUUCUCUGGGACGGUACUGACGCUGAGACGCGAAAGCGUGGGGAGCGAACAGG
This 253-nucleotide ribosomal RNA is filed under the name uncultured bacterium. RNAcentral's name for it is "partial 16S ribosomal RNA". It matches the Rfam family "Bacterial small subunit ribosomal RNA", at positions 524 to 776 of the family's 1533-position model. The record is from RNAcentral.